This 483-nucleotide ribosomal RNA is filed under the name uncultured bacterium. RNAcentral describes it as "partial 16S ribosomal RNA". It matches the Rfam family "Bacterial small subunit ribosomal RNA", at positions 30 to 507 of the family's 1533-position model. The record is from RNAcentral.
UUGAACGCUGGCGGCAUGCCUUACACCUGCAAGUCGAACGGCAGCGCGGGAGCAAUCCUGGCGGCGAGUGGCGAACGGGUGAGUAAUACAUCGGAACGUGCCCAAUCGUGGGGGAUAACGCAGCGAAAGCUGUGCUAAUACCGCAUACGAUCUACGGAUGAAAGCAGGGGAUCGCAAGACCUUGCGCGAAUGGAGCGGCCGAUGGCAGAUUAGGUAGUUGGUGAGGUAAAGGCUCACCAAGCCUUCGAUCUGUAGCUGGUCUGAGAGGACGACCAGCCACACUGGGACUGAGACACGGCCCAGACUCCUACGGGAGGCAGCAGUGGGGAAUUUUGGACAAUGGGCGAAAGCCUGAUCCAGCCAUGCCGCGUGCAGGAUGAAGGCCUUCGGGUUGUAAACUGCUUUUGUACGGAACGAAACGGUCUUUUCUAAUAAAGAAGGCUAAUGACGGUACCGUAAGAAUAAGCACCGGCUAACUACGUG